Long non-coding RNA from Brassica rapa (field mustard), 11659 nucleotides. RefSeq lists it as uncharacterized. Lineage: Eukaryota; Viridiplantae; Streptophyta; Magnoliopsida; Brassicales; Brassicaceae. The record is from RefSeq and is a predicted model, not a curated record.
UUUUUGAAUAUUUUAAAUAUUAAAAAAUUCAAACAUGUUUAUUAAUAUUAUUUUUAAAUUAUUUAUCGUUGUUUAAAGAAUAAAUUUAUCAUAAUUUUAAAAUAAUUUACAGAAUGUUAUAAAUUAUUAAUAAAAUUAAAUUUACUAUAUAUUGAAUAUUUGUUUAUUGUUAAAUAUUUUUUAGAAUUUCUUUUUGAUUUAUAUUUUCCAUCGACACUACUAAAAAGGAAAGCCCUCUAAAUACUUACCUUAUUUUGUAAUUUCGAUAUAUCAUUUAAUUCAUCGAUCCCACUAUAAUAGGAAAGUACCAUUGAAUACUAAUUGCAAGGGAAAACAUAAUUUAAUGACCAAUUAACAUCACUUUCCAAAUGACUUACAUAAUAUUAUUAAUAACUAUUUAUGGUAACUAAUUGUCGAAAGUAUAGUAUAUAAAUCCAUUUUAUUAAUUCAAAUAAAUAUUUUGGAUUCCAAAUGACUUACAUAAUAUUAUUAAUAACUAUUUAUAGUAAUUAAUUGUCGAAAGUAUGGUAUAUAAAGUCAUUUUAUCAAUUCAAGUAAAUAUUUUGGUUUAUUAUUUUAUGUAGUCUAUAGAUAUAUUAGAAUAUAAAGUCAUUUUAUCAAAUCAAAUAAUUUAUUUUAGUUCAUCGAUCCCCUAUAAAAGGAAAGUAACAUUGAAAACUGAUUGAAAAGGAAAAAAUAAUUUAAUCUCUCUAUUAACAUUACUUGCGCAACAAUAUUAGUUAAUACAUGUAAUAAUUAGUUUCCUUAUUACAAAUGGAAAGAAUUCUCUUGAUUUUGUUGAUUGAAUUUCUUUUUCGAUUUAUUUUAAUCAUCGACACUACUAAAAAUGAAAUCACUUUAAUACUUAACUUUUUUGUUUUUUCGAUUCAAAGAACAUCUUUUUGCGAUCAUUUCUCUGUUUAAUUCAUUAAAUACUCACUAAAUAUUUUAGAUGUUAGAGAAAUGAAAUUAAUUGACAAGAUAUUUUCUCUCCUAAAAUCAUGCAUUUAAAACUUAAUAUUUAUGGUGAGACUUGUCAACCAAAAUUCUGGUGCAAUCUAUUCACGAGAUGUUCUCCUUUAGCUUUAUUAACAAGAUAUUCCAAAAAUAAUCUAUUCUAUUAAAAGGGAAGAAGUUUUAAAAAAUCUACCUAUGAAAAGUUGUUGGACCCUUUCAUUAGCUUAAACUAUUUUUUUGGUCUCACCUUUUAUUUCUCUAACUAUGCAAUAGUCAAUUAUCUUAUAUUUUUCUAACUAUGCAAUAAUCAAUUACCUUAUAUUUCUCCAAUUUAGUUUAACAAUAUAUUCUAAAAAUAUAUAUAUUCUAAAUAUAUUGUUAUGAUGAUUUUUGAUAAGAAUAUAUUAUAGAUGCGAUUGAAAAUUUUUAUUAUUAAAGAUUUUUUUUUUAAAAAAUUUAUAAAAGAAUUUAUAACAUCUAUAUAAAACUCUUUAUUUUUUAUCCUACCAUUAACUACAAUAACUAUAAAUAAUUCAAAUAAAUCCUAUUAUUAUUUCUCAUUUGGUAUGAUACACUUCUUUAAUUAUUUUUCUUAUUAUCAUCCAAUGUUAUUGUUGUUAUUAAUAACGUUAUAUACAUCAUAUAUUAUGCUCAAAGAUGGAUAUAUAAUAUUUAGAUAUCAAUUAUUAAAACGAAAGCAUAUAUCAUACAACAUAUUAUAUCAUGUCAUCUAACAUUAUAUAAUUCUAAAUAUUUACAAAAUCAAAUUUAAUAAAAAAAUACUUUAGCAAAUCAUUUGUCAAAACAAAAUUAUAUAUAUUUACGUUAAAUUAUUUUUUAUUACAUUAAUAUAUUAGAAGUUUCAUUCAUCUCUUAAAAUAUUAUUGAAGAUUAUUUUUUUCCUACCAUGUAAACCAAAUGUCGGGUCACACUUGAUUGCGGGUUUUUUCGAAGUUUGCAUGCUUUAAAUUAACGAGUUUUCAUUAAAUCUAAACCAGCUUAUGUACAAGUCAUCGUGUUUACUGGUUCGACGACGGGUCCAAACUUAAUAUAAAAGUACUGUUCUCAUCUAAUUGAAAAUAAUUUAUUUUAAAAUAAUAGACGCACUGAAUCUGAUCAAUCCAUAUAAUUUUUUUUUGAAAAAAGUAAUCUUUUUUUUUUUUUUUUUUUUUGACAGCAAAAAGAUUACAGACUCAUAUAGACCCUGUAAACCAAAGUGGUAACUCUGAAUCCAUGUGUACGACGAAAGACGGUUGUUGCCGAGCACUACGUGCCAAACUAUCCGCCCUUGUAUUCUCCGUCCUAGGUACAUGAACAAUAUCUGAGUUGACGAAACUUCUUCUCAACAGCUUAAUAUCUUCCAGGUAGCUUUCAAAUGCUGGCCAUUCUUCUGGUUCUGAAACCAUCUUCACCAAUUGAGAACAAUCCGUUGCAAACGUAACCUGAAACUGUCUUAAGUUUCUCAUGCAUUCCAUUGCCCAAAUUAAUGCCUCCAUCUCCGAAUGAAGCGGUGAAAGACAAGCCCUUACAUUCCUUGCUCCUAGUAAACCAUCAAACCCUGAUAAUGUACUGAGCCAACCUUGUCCUGAAAAUAGGUCGUUAUCUUUCCAAGAACCAUCUGUGAAACACCAUCUUCCUGUGGUUCCUACGUUAGGCCUAACUUGUACUUCUUGUGCACACCUGUUGUUACUAACCUGUGCCUCAGCCCAAAGUGUUGAUUCUAGUUCUGCUAAUCGAAGUGUUUCCCUGGGAUCAAUAUCAAGAUUACUGAAUACUUUAUUGUUUCGACCCUUCCAAAUGUACCAUAGUAUCCAUGCAAACUGAUGAUCCUCCAUCUUUGGAUUAACUCUCCAAAAUAGAUGGUCCAUAUUAGCAAAAAGAGAGCCAAUAGGAAAAAUAUUCGGAUUUGAUGGAAUUUUAGAUAGUGCCCAGACUUGACGAGCUGGGGGACAUUCAAAAAACACAUGGUUUAUUGAUUCUUCAGGAUCACCACACCGUGCACAGCACGUAUCUCCUUGUAUUCCUCUUGCCCUUAGAUUUUUCGUUACCGCCAUACAUCCUGAUAUCAACUGCCAUAAAAAAUGUUAAAGCAUUUUUUGAAAAAAGUAAUCAAACGAUUAAAAAUAUAAUUACAUAAUAAUAAUUUUUUUUGACAUAAUAAAAUUUUGUAACAUAAUAAUGUAUAACAAGACUAAAAUACUAAUUCAUAUCAUAUAUCUUUAUCAACUGAAAAAUAACCCGCGCUUUUAAGCGCGGGUCAAAAUCUAGUAUUACCUUAUAAGUAUAAGAUUUAUUGAGAAUUUAUUAAAGAAUAUUCUAUUUCUUAGCUUAUCAUGCAAGCUAAAUCAAUGAGAAACGUCUACCAAUUUACUAUAAAUAAGACAUUCACAGUAGAAGAAACGAAAUAAUUGAACUUUGUAUUUUUGUAUUCUGAACUUUUAAUGUUAAUAAUGUUCUAAACUUUUUUUCUUCUUAUUUUAGAACAUUAAGCUUUUAUAUUUCAUGAGAGCUGAUUUUUCUUUUGGUUUAUAUGCAGAUACCCUAUUAUGACAAUUUCUCCACUGAAGCUAUAUAUGAUUUGAUUGUACACCUCUUUGAUAUAUCAUUUCGAUAACAUCUUUGUUCCUCAAUCUGGUAAAAAAUUUUUACUCAAUUUGAUAACAUCUCUCAGCUAAAUCAUUUCAAUAGCAUCUUUUUGUGCUGCGAAUAUUUUUCUUUUUUUGAUUUGUAGAUUUAUAUUAUUGUUUAGAAUUAUAAGCUUAUAUAUACACAUAUUUGUUUUUUGGUUUGCUGAUUGUGAUUUUUUUUUUCAGAGAUGAUUUGAGAGAAGUGGUCAUAUUUCAGACCUCUAAGAGUUCACCAUUCCGAUCCUGCAAAAGAUGUGCACUUAGAAUGGUAUUUUCUCUACUGUACAUCAAAAUUGGAUAAUCAAUUAUAUUUUUAAAAUAUCUAUAGUAGGAUGGUAUUUUCUCUACUGAAAUAAUAUCUUAUUUCCUAAUCUCAUGCUUUAAUAUUUAAACUUUAAGGACAAGAUUUGUUAAUUAAAUCAUUAGUGUAAACUACUCCCGGGAUAUUCUCUUUUUUAUAUUUAAAAUGUAAUUUUAGUAACAAUAUAUUCCAUAAAUAAUCCUAACUUAUAGGUAGAUACAUUUUUAAAAUUAAUUUGAGAACAUUCUAUUACAUAGCUUAUUGUGAAAGCUAAAUAUUUUAGUAAACUCUAGCAUUUUACUUAUCUUUUGUGUUUUCUCGAUUCAAAUAACAUCUUUUUGAGAUCAUUUCUCUGUUUAGUUCAUUAAAUACUCACUAAAUAUUUUAGAUGUCAGAGAAACAAAAUUAUUUGACAAGAUAUUUUCUCUCCUAAAAUCAUGCAUUUAAAACUUAAUAUUUAUGGUGAGACUUGUCAACCAAAAUUUUGGUGCAAUCUAUUCACGAGAUGUUCUCAUUUAGCUUUAUUAACAAGAUAUUCCAAAAAUAAUAUUACCUUAUAAGUAUAAGAUUUAUUGAGAAUUUAAUAAAGAAUAUUCUACUUCUUAGCUUAUCAUGUUUUUAUCAAAAGAAAACGUCAGUAGAUCAAAUUAAUUUUUACAUGUUCUUUCAGGCUUGAGUUUAUCAGAAGAUCAAAUUAAGAGUUUAUCUUUGGCGGAGAUUGAAUCAAUCAUGCGUUUGAACGGAAGCUCAUUUACAUUGUUUAAGUUUUGAAACGUGUUAUCAAUAGUAUACUCUUCUAUUGGUUAAGAUGUGGCUUUUGUUAGAUUUUCUAUUAAUUAAUUUUUUUUGUUUUACUUUUGUGGAAUUCGCGAUAUUGUAAUGUUGUAAAUAAAUACUAAAGACAUUUUUCUCACUAUUAAUAGGUGAGAGAGAGGGAGGGAGAGAGAGGGAGGGAGAGGGAGGGACGGAGAGAGAGAGAGGGAGGGAGGAGGGAGGAUGAGAGGGGAGAGAGAGUGGGAGAGAGGGAGAGAGAGGAUAUGUUUAUGUCCGCACAGGGUGCGGGGCCGGCCACCUAGUAAAGAUUAAUUCUCAAAUGUACUUCAGUUUUAAUAGAUUAGAUUACUAAAACAGAACGGUUCCUAAUAUGAUUCACUCUGCAAGCAAUGAUUCACUGCAUUUGGCAGGAACGAAACUAAAGACGCAAUGGAAAAAAACCAAUGGAAUCGUAACGUUUGAUUAAAACUGUGGUCCGUGGAUAAUAGUUAGCAACAAGAACGUGAUCUAAUUUUUACCACAAAAAAAAAGAACAUGAUCUAAAUAUAUUUUUUUGAACUAAGAACGUGAUCUAAAUAUUACAGAAGAUUAUGCAAAUAAGUUCAAAAAAAAAAAAAUCAAGAACGUGAUGGAAGGAAAGGAUUUGAAACAGGAACGUGAUCUAGAGAAUUUUUUUAUUCUUUAUUUUCCAAACAACAUUAGACGAGAUCUACAAGCAUCUGAUGUACAAAAGUAUUCGAUUAAAAAUAGUCACUAGAAAAAUUAACGCUAAAAUUGUUGUUAAGAGAAGAUGUACAGUAUUACUAUUAGGAAAAAAAUUCAUGUAUUAUUUGAAUUUCGUAUUCUUGAAAUACAAAUAAAAAAUAACUGAAAUUUCUUAGCGGUAAAAAAAUUAAACUUGUUAACUUUGUCGUCGGCUUAUUGUAUAUUAGUCUAUAAGUAACUGUGUAUCCCUAAUUUUAAUUAUCUUGAUCUAACUCGGUAAAUGAACCAUCUUUAUACCUUUAAAUCUUUUAUACAGUAAUAAAAUCUAAAAUUAAAUCAUUCUAAGUUGAUGUCUAAUGGAACGAUUUUAAAUAUAUAUAUAUAUAUAUAUAUAUAUAUAUUUAUAUAUAUAUAUAUUAUCUAUAAAAUAAACAAAUUUAAAAGCUUCUAAAACUGUCCACAUAGGAUAAAAUAUUCACAAUCAAUGAAACUGACACGUCAGCUCUUAAGUGAAUAAAGCAAAAUCAAUAUAUACACAACGUUGACAGUAUUUAGAGUCUGAACAGAGUAAAAGAAAAAGACGGAAAGACACCUAGACGUGCAAACUUUGCUAAGUUUGCUAUUCAAUAUUUUAGAACUAAUUGUAUAUUGAUUCACUUUUUAAAUAAUGAACUGCCUAUUAGUUCAAAUUUGUGAACAAAACUCAUGAAACACUAACUACAGUAGCUACUCAGCUAGACGUGAGUGUUUCUAGUGGUUCUUUUCUUCAUUCUUUUUUAAAUAAAUUAAUUUUUGUUUAAAUAAUAUUAAUACGUGCUAAUUUUAAAUUAAAAAUUAUUUUAGUCAUAUAAACAUCUACAAAAAUUCAAACUUAAACAAAAUAAGAAUUACAUAAUAUAUAAAUUAUUCAAAAUCAAGUUUUAAUUCUAGUUGAUGUAUCAUAUAUAUAUAAUAUUUGACUUAAAGCUUUAUUUUCUUAACAAUAAAUCAUUAUUUUUUUCAAAAAAAAACAUUAUACUACUUUACCUAAAACUAUAAGUAUUUCUAAAUAAUCCAAAGUAUAUAUUAUAAUUUUAAAGCUUUAAUAAUUAUAUAUGUAAACUUGAAAGUAUAUUUCUAUUUUAUUUUAAAUUAAAAUCUAUACUUAUUGAAUUUAUAAAUCAUUUAAUGUUAUUUAUGAAAGUAAGUAGUUAUAAAACAUUAUAUAAAUUAUUUCAAAUUUGCACAGGUUUUUAGAGCGCUUUUUAUCCAUUUUUACCAUUCAAACAUUAGUUUGGAACCGCUAAAUACGCUUCAUCAACUCAAUCCGCUUCAUCCACUCUUGUUCCGAUCGAUCCGCUAGAUCCGCAAUGCUUGAUUCGCUUUUUCCUUUCGGAGCCUUAGUGUAAUUAUUGUUUUCUUAACAGAUGCACUAUUAUCGGCCCAAAAAUUUACACAUAAACAUUUCUUCGUUCCUUCAUCUUCUACAUUGUUUAAACCAAUGUUUCACCAGAAUCAGUAACCAACGUUUUAAAAUAAUCCAAACGUACACGGAAGUCUUCUGUAAUAACCAAGCUUUGACCAGAAUCUCGGAAUAAAAUCCUGGAAGACUUCUGUGUAAGUCGUUUAUUUGAAGACAUACAUGGAAAUCGUCCGGAUAAAAUAAAGUAUUUUUUUUACUUUUUCAAAUGCAAAAGUAACCUGAUACGACUUACAUGGACGUCGUCUAAACGAUAAAUAUUUAAGUUUUAUUUUUGUGUUGGACGACUUCCCUGUAAGUCGUCUAGGAAAAGUCAAAUUUCUGACACAAUCCGGUCAAAUGCAAAACUAACAUGUUUAUCCUUGAUGACUUACCGAGAAGUCUCCUUUGGUAUUUUCAAGAUUUUUUAAAAAUAUUUUUUUUUAUUUUUUUCAAAUGCAAAAGUAACAUGAAACGACUUAUAUGAAAGUCGUCUAAAAAUUAAAUAUUUAAGUUUUAUUUUUGUGUUGGACGACUUCCCUCUAAGUCGUCUAAAAAUUAAAUAUUUAAGUUUUAUUUUUGUGUUGGACGACUUCCCUCUAAGUCGUCUAGGAAAAGCCAAAUUUCUGAUACAAUCCGGUCAAAUGCAGAACUAACAUGUUUAUCCUAGAUGACUUACCGAGAAGUCUCCUCUAGUAUUUUCAAUUAUUUUUUAAAAAACAAAGAAAAUCGAAAGACUUCAAAAAAAAUCAUCUCUAAAAGAUACAUAUAAAUUCAAUUGCAAAACUAACUUAUGCAUUGACUAGAAGAAUUACAUGGAAGUCUUCUGACCGACAGAUCUGGAAAAAAAUUGAUUUCAUAACUUCAACCAGUGAGAUAUCUUGUUUAGCUUCUUCAACCACACAAAAAUUCACCAUCAAAGCGACCCACUUGUUAAUGACCAAGAAUCAUAAACUUGAAUGGCUCUAUCAACCUUAAAAAUUUUAUAAUCAAAAUCUUAAACUCAUCCUUUUGUUUGGUUUAUUUCACCCGAUAAACUAAACUUACCCAUCCAACUAAAUUUACUGUUAUGGAAUCCUGGUUUAUAUAUACAUAUGAAAAUCUCUUAUUAGUACGAUCAAAGAAACCAAAUUUCUCUGCUUAGGAUGAUGAAUAGAAAAAUGGUUAAACGGUUAAAAUAAAAUCAUGGUUUCAUAAACAUAGCAAAAUUCUUACCAAUUUAGGCAGGCAAAACGAAGCUUUAAUAAAACAAAUUUUCAGAAGUUCACAAUUUUGUGACUAUAUACAUGUGAUGAAUUAAAAUAUUUUUGAGAUAAUUAUUGAGCAUCAAAAUAAAUAAAUAAAAACCAUGUUGAUCUCAAGAAACAACCUGAUAAUAUAUAAAUGGAAAAAACUUACUUUAAUUAACCAUGUACCAUAUAUUUUAGAAAUAUUUCCUCUAGGAGACACAAUUCAAGUUUCCAAUUACCUAAAAAGACACUUUGAGCUCUGUGAACACUUCUUCUUAGUGAAUUGUUUUAUCUAGCCCUCAACUAUGUGAACUCUCUCCUUUCUUUGAAUCAUUAACUAGAUGGAACCUUUUAACUAGAACCACUUUAAUAUUUUUAAAACAAUAAAACUAAUUCCUUUUUUUUCUUUAUUAAAAACGUCUUUACCUAUUCCCUUCCUAAAUUUCUAGAUCUUGUAAUAUCUCAGAAAACAAAUCAUAAUCCUCUUUCUCUCUGUCUCAGAUUUCUCGAUCCAGGAAUUGUAGUGUCCGUAAUCACGCCGCUUUGCUUCGGUUUCAAUCUCCGACAUGGAAGAGAACAGAGAAGACCAUGUCUCCCCGAGAGACUUUUCGCAACAGAUCGGUUCUCUUGUCGCCGUCUGAAUAUUACUCAAGACCUAGCACACUUGCUUUCAUCCGCCAUCGUCUUUGUGGUUCUCCAGAAUUUGUGUACAAGAUAGUUAUGGACAAGAUACUUGUGGUCAAGAGAAUUGUGGUUAAGAGAAUUGUGUUAUAGAAGAGAGAAUUGUGGAUAAGAUAGUUAUGGACAAGAUACUUGUGGUCAAGAUAAUUGUUUUAUAAAGAAGCCAUGCAAUUCAAACCUCGUACUCACAAACAUGUAUACAUGAUCCGUCCAUAAGUAUACAUCCACAAGAGUUUGUCCACGUGGUUACUAUCAGCUUACGUAAUGUUUUGACAUUUUUUGUUGUUUCUAGCUUAACUAACUGUAAAAUUAUUUAAAGAUGGAGACAAUAUAUACUAAUUUUUUUGAAUUGAAUAGUCUCUUGAAUCUUUAUUUCUCAAUAUGUGGGAGGGAAGAUGAAGAUUGAACAUGUAUUCAUAAUCCAUCCACAAUCGUCCGUCCACAAGAACUUGUGUGCUUUUUAUAGUAAAUGUUAUUGAACUUGUAUUUUUGCAUAAUCAUUUGAAUAACACCAUCCAUUGUACUUCAUAUAUUCUACCUAGCUCAUCCACUAAGUUCACAAAUCGCAUGUACACAUCUAUUUUUAAGGCGCAUCCACGUAUCUACAUCCACGCUUCGCUUGUUCUCACUUGUCUUUAUGCUCGAACUAGCCAAAAAUCUCAAAAAUCGUAAGAAAAUCUGAAAACUCAAACUUGAACGAGUUUCCAUCUAUAAAUUUUCAAAUCUAUAUCUCUUGAGUUCAUGUUUUUAUGUCUGUUUCUCUGUCCACGUCUUCUCCAUCCAUGUGUUUUCAUUUAAGUCUUUCUUAUCUAUAUGUUUCCGUAAGAAAAUUAAAAUAUAAAAAUUAUAUAUUAAAAUGGAUGUUAAAAUGUAGAAAAUAAGAAGUUAUAAUUUAUGGUACUAAAUAAAGUUGAUUUAUAUAUCUUUAACUUUUGAAAAUAAGCAAAUUAAAUACAAAUGAAGGUGAAUGAAGAAUAAUAAUUAUAUAAAAAGUUUUAUUUCUUUUUCUCUCUCUAACUAAGAACCAUUCCAUUAAAAUUUUAGUUGGUUUACGGUUGAUUCUUUAGAAACAAUAUCCUUCUACUUACACAAAAGCAAGGUUAUUUUUGUCUACAAAAAAACAGCUGUCUAUACAAAGUACACACAAAGUGUGUCAAAGACACAAUGUGUCCUUAAAUGAAAAGAGAAGACAGAAAGUGUCUUUCUGUGUAAGUCUCUCUAUAUUUUAAAGACUAAUAAUUCAUCAAUUCUUUUUUAACAAUAUCAACAAGAUUUUACUUUGACACCUCCACUGUAAUUAUUUGAAGCUUAAGAAAAAAAAUCACAAAGCUGCUUUCGUCGUCUUUAGGAUGUUAAUCAGGCUACUUAUCCUUUAGUUUUGUAGAGUGUGGGCUUAUAUAAUAACAAAACUAAAAUUUAGAAAUUUAUAUUCCUAACUUAGAGCAAAAAGAAAACGACAAAUUAUGCAGACCUAAACAAAAAACUGCAGUGUUUUGAAAUCUGAUUCGGAAACUGAACCGGACAACUUUCCCGGUUACCUGGUUAUUAGGUCGACCGCUAGUGAACUGCAAAUUAAUAAAUCAAUUAAUUUUAUUAUAUAAUAUAUUAGCUAUAAAAAUAUAAUAGAUAUUUUAUGUUUUAAAAAAGUCGCUUAGAAAAUACUUAACUUUAGUUUUUUAUAUUUUUACUUUCAUUUUACAUAAAAUAUUAAAAAUAGUUUAGAGUAUUUAACAAUUUUUAUAGCAAUUUAAGAGUUAUGACAUCUACUAAAAAUAUACAGAUUUAAAAUACAUAAAUAUUUAAAUUUCUAAUGCGAAUUACAAAAUUAAACUUUAAAACUAAAAUAAACCAAAAGUAAAACAUCAUUGUAAUAAAUUUUCGAUAACAAAAAUCUAACAACAAAUUACAUCAACUAAUCUUGAUUUCAUAUACCAUCGUUCACUUCAUUUUCUUCGGGUGACAUAGUGAAAGUUUUUAUCAAAAUCUACAAAAAAAAUAACAAAAAAUUAAAUUAAAUUAAAUUAUUUAUUGGUGCUACCAAUGGUUCAGCCAAUAAUCGAAUUUCGGACUUUAAUGGGUUUUCUUGGUUUUAUUGGGUUUUAAAAUAUUGGAUGUUUUCCUAAACUCAAACUGGAUUUAUUUUGGAUCAUUGUUUACCGGUUCAACCGUAAGUUCAGUUCCAGUUUUGAAACACUUAUUAAGUGUGACCGAUUCCAUAAUAUUUAGUAUUCAAACAAAACAUCAAUUAUAAAAUUCUAUAUACCAAUAAUCCGCGACGACGACCUAGUAUACUAGAAAAGACUUCGAAAAUCCUAUACAGGAAAUUUAAUUUUAUACUAGAAUUUGAACCCGCGCGUCCGCGCGUAUAUAUCUUUAUUUAAAUUAUAAAAUAUAUUUUUAUACCAGUUACUAUUAUUUUAUAUUUAUAUUUUGUAAAAUUUGUUUUGAUGAAAUUUUAAUAAUCAUAUAUUAACCACUUGUUUUUGUAUUUUUAUUUAAAAAUGUAACAACAUACUAAAAUUUUAUUUAGUUUUAAAUAAAUUAGAAAUGCUCAAAAACUUUUCAUGAAUACAUAAUAUAUAUAUAUAUAUAUCUAAAUAUUGAUAAUUUGAACCGAAUGAGUUUCUAAAAAUAUAUAUUAAGGAUUCCAUGUUUUUCUAUAUGAACGAUUGAAUGAAUUUCAUAUAUCAUAUUUAGCACUGGUAUAGUUACAUCAUAUAUGAUUUGGAAAACCAUACACAAAUGUUAUGAACAGACCAAAAUAAAUAAUAGAAGCAUAAUAUGUAGUUAUGGAAAAUUUCGAUAUCAUACAUCUGAAUAUACUACAUUAAUACAUGCAUAUCAAACCUUUUAUUUAUAUUAGCUUUCCUUAAAAUGUAUAUACGUAUAAAAAAUGUCUCCAUUAGUAUUCUCUUAUUAAACUAUAACAAACCUAACUUCCUAAAUC